CUCGUGCCGGGCAUCUAGAGAACUGGCAGCUGUUCUCAUGGCAGUUCGCGCUCCCGCUCUCGCGGCUACGGCUUGGCGCUGUUCCUUGGCUGGGGCUGGAGUGUACAUUUCCUGGUUGCGCGACGGAACCCUGACCUGCUUAGCUGCUGAACCCUCCUGGCGCUGCAGCUUCUCCCUCCAGUGAUGAUCUCUGCGGAUCUCGGUGCCCCAUCCACACAACACAACCAGCAUCGGCGUAGCAGCUGUCCCGACCCGCUAGCAACCCCAGUUAGCUCCUGCUCCUCCUGCUCCGCAGGGACGGCCAGGGGGACUUCAUAACCCCAUCCGUCCAGAGGUGCGGGGGACUUCAUAACCCCACUGGCCAGAGGUGAUGGGAGGACUUCAUAACCCCCCCGGCCAGAGGUGAUGGGAGGACUUCAUAACCCCCCCGGCCAGAGGUGCUGGGGAACAUCAUAACCCCCCCGGCCAGAGGUGCUGGGGGACAUCAUAACCCCCUCGGCCAGAGGUGCUGGGGGACAUCAUAACCCCACGUGGCCAGAUGUGCUGCGGGGGGACUUCAUAUUUGUCACCUGGCCAGAGGUGCUAGGAAGAUUGCAUAAUCCUCAGCUGGCCAGAGGCGCAACACCGUUUUUGUUGUCAUCAAAGCUGUACCUCUUCAGUGACAAUUUUAACUAUUGCGUUAAGCAAACCCUCCCCCAAACCCAUAACAAAUCCCUCUUUAUGGUUUUCAUGUGAUUUAUUAUCUUGCAUUAGUGUGGUAAUAGUCGACAACAUCUAAAACAUAGACAGCAUGCUACUGCACACAUCUCCUUAGGAGGAGAAAAUCACAGCAUUAGAGAUUAUUCGACUGAAGGGAAGUCAUACUCUGCCUAGGCAGCCUUUUCGCCUCCAGUUUCAGCUCUCGUCUUUAUGCUGGUUUCCCAUACCUGUACGUGCAGCUCAUAUUUUUCUUGACGCACCAAAUCCAUAAUCUAAUCGAUGACUGUACAUCUCCAAGAAUCAAAGUGAGCGUAUAUAUGCAUAUAUAUGUGUUUGCUUAUUGUCUGUUUCACCCAUUAGCUCCGUAAGAGUCUUCCAGCUGAUGCCACUGCCACUUAUGAUACCAGGAUCAUAACUGAGACUCAAUAAAUAAUUAAUGAAAGAAUAAAUUAAUAUCUAUCGGGAAGGCCCAAACACUCAGCUAAAUUAUUCUCGUUUCCCUGUCAGCCUCUCUUCCCCAGUUUUCCAUCUUGAGGUAUAUACUGCAUAUCCUACAUCACCCAGCCAGAAACUCAGUGGUUGUAGUGAAUUUCUCCUCCUGCCCAUCUCCCUCACUCUUUCCUUUCAGGGAUAAGGAAUACCUUGAUUCCUGAAUCUUCUCUGAGGUGUACUCUCUCCUCCUCAUUGCCUUACCUUAGUUCAGACUCCAGACUCCUGGGAGGCCUCCCAACUAUUGCCUCUGACUCCAGUCCCUUAACACACCAGGUCAUCCACCUCCACACAGUCAAAGCUGACAACAUGCCUCCCCAGCCACUGCCCAUGUCUUGACCUCAGUAUUAACAACAUUUGGGCUGGACAAUCUGGUUGUGGAGGGCUGUCUCGUGCACCAUGGGACAUUUAGCAGCUUCCUUGGCCUCUACCCAGGAGAUUCCAAUAGCAACUCUCUCUAUCUCCAGUUGUGACAGCCGAAAUGUCUUCAAACAUUGCCAGAUGUCUUCUCGGAGUGCCAGAGGGAAGGUGCAAAUUCACCCCCAAUUAGAAACCACUGGCCUAUCGGAUAACUUUCCAACUCCAGAGCAGUAGGAUUCAGGACUGUUUCUGAGCUUGCCUUCCAAUCUGCUUCAUCUUUUCCUAUACAGUUCUGUACUGAAGAACUAUAGAGAGUUCAUUUCCAUGGGUAAGAAGACUCAAUAUCAUGACAAGCAGCAACUCUUUUCAGAUUAAUCAAUGCAAUUUCAAUCUGCAAAACAGGCCCCGGACUAUCUGCCCUUCUGAUACCCCUUGGCCUCAAGUUCUUCUGGUUUCUUUUUUAGGUACUUGGAGAGAUGAUAAAGGGAGAAGGAAAUGUCAGAGAAAAGGUCAGUGGCACUGGGGCAAGCCAUGGCCUGAGCCCUGGCUCUGAUAUAGCACUUCUAGCCUCCAAGUGGUACUGAGGCUGCAUGUGCUGUGACCCCAGUGAGUACUUCACGCUGAAAGCAGAAAGAUGCCUCCCCGAAACACUUCUCAUUUUCCCUCCAGUGACUGGGAGGCCUGGGGAGCAGGCCCUGGGUCCUGGCACAGUUCCACGUAAGGCCCUGGCUUUGCAAACACCUAUCCCAGUGCUCCUGUUUACACUCUGAAGGCAGACUGCGAGUCAGAGGAAAGGACAAAGCUGUGGUCUUGCAAGGCCCCUGGUCAUCCGUGUGCCUCCCACAAAUGCUUCCAAGUUCUCCUCAAAGGGAAGGGACUGUAUUCAUCUGUUUCUCACACUGCUGCAAAGACAUUCCAGAGAAUGGGUAAUGUAUGAAGAAAAGAGGUUUAUUUGGCUCACAGCUAUGCAGGCUGUACAGGCAUCUGCUUCUGUGGAGGCCUCAGGAAACUUACAAUUGUGGUGGAAAGGCAAAGGGGAAGCAAGCUGUCUCACAUGGUGGGAGCAAGAGGAAGAGAGAGAGGAGAAAGUGAUGCAUACUUUUAAACAAGCGGAUCUUCUAUCACAAGACAGCAAUAAAGGGAUGGUGCUAAAUCAUCAGAAACCACCCCCAUGAUUGAAUUACCUUCCACCAGGCCCCACCUCCAAAACUGAGAAUUGCAAUUCAACAUGAGAUUUGGGAAGGGACACAAAUCCAAACCAUGUUAGGAAGAUUGCCAUGGGCCUGUCAGGAAGGCCUGGAAAGCACAGGGCCUGAAGGGUCAGGCCCUGGACCUGUGUGGGCCUGGUCAUCAGCAGCGUCUCAAGAAAAUGUUUCUUAGUUCUCCUGAGGAGGAGCGGGGCCCAAGCCAGUGAGGCCACCAAGGGAGAGUCCCAGGCCUAGCCAUGGCCCUUGCUUCAGACACUCUUUCAGGCAGGGACCAGCCCAUGACAGACAUAAAGACUCCAGCAACAUGUCUCAGGCCUGGCUGUGGCUGCCAGAUGUGCCUUGAAGAUGGACACUAGUCUGAGCCAGCAAAAGGCCUGAAGAGUGUGCUUAUGAGGCAGCCAUGACCUCACAUGGGAAGUGGUCCUAGGAGGCACCCCCAGAGCUAACUUUCUAGGUCCCACUCCUAUGAUGGAGAGCCAGUGAGAACCAAGUGGUGGUCGGUUCUGCAUGGGCUUGGUCAUCCCAUGCAAGGCCCCAAAUAUUUUCAUGUCCUGCACCUGAAAAGGGGGCACUGCAGGCAAGCCAGGUCCACCCUGAUACUACACCCCAGCCUUAUCUGGUCCUGCAUAGAGGCAAGUCAUCUGAGGCAAUGCCCAACAGUUUCCUAGGCUCUCUUUGAUGGCAGAGACCGGUCUAGGAUGGCCCAGGAGCACUGUGGAAGUCCCUUGGCCCGAGAAGGGUCAGGGGUAGGUCCUGGCCAUCUGAUUUACCUGUGGAAAAUAUUUCUGUUCUGUGGGUAGCACUGAGCAGGAUGCCGUGAGAUGGUGCCCCAGGUCCAAACACAGUCCUAUGUGAGGUCUGGUCACUGGAUGAGCCUCUUGAAAUAUUAUCUAAGUCCCCCUCUGGAAACAAAGACUGUCUGGGAAUGAAGAGGGAGACCCAGUGAAGACACCACCCUGGCCGUGUCCCAGGCAUGGCUCAGUCACCAGAUGCUCCUAAAAUAUUUUUCUAUGUCUCUGGAAUGGGUGGCCAGAGAUUCCUGUGGGGGGUGUCAGUGUACUUGCCACUGGUCUAGAAAAUGUUUCAAAGUCCAGCUCUGGGCUGUGGUGCCUACCCCUGUGUUGGUGGGGACUAGCUAGACUGAGAAGGCCCCUCAGGGUGCAGGCUCCAGGCUUGAUCUAUUUGGUCAAUGCCUCUCCGUGAUGAUUUCUAUUUCUCUCUGGAGAUGGGGACAUCUUGGCAUGAACAGGAAGGCCCUGGGGAUGCCAAGACUAGUUACAUUGCUGCAUAGAACCUGGUCCCUUUCAGUGGCAGGACUGGCCCAUGCCACUGAAAGACCCAGCCUUGUGGGUCUGGUCAGGGCAUGAAUCUCCCUGAAACAUUUCCAAGUAGGCCCCUGGAGUGGGAGCAGUGGGCUGACUAGAGGAUCCCAGGGGAAGGCAUCUGGCCUCCAUCACGCAGAGUCCCAGUACUUGGUAAACUAGACCAACAAAUCUAUAAGUGUCCAGGGGUCAGGACCAGCACAAUUUGAACAGGCCAGAGGAGGGCCCCUCAAUCUUGCCACAGGUCCUCAUGGGGCACAGAUGGAUAUGUAUCUUAAAGAUGUUUCUGUCUCUCUGGCCGACAGUUCCAUGGAGGGCCCUGGGGCUCUGUUGCAUGAUGUACCUCCAAGGGUUUUCUAAGUCUCCCACUGCAGGGGAAGCGAACCUAGCCAGGGGGCCCAAGUGGGCCCAUGCUGCCCUUGCUGUUUAACAUGUCUUCAGAAAACCUUUCCAACUCACCUGCCAAGGUUGACGGCAGCUGGAGCAACUCUUCAUGCGCUGGGAGAUUUCCAGGCCCACUGAGGUUUCUUGAGGGGCUGGUCCCUGCAUAUGCCUCCCAGAAAAUGUCAAAGUAUUUUCCUGAAAGAAGGGCUCUGCUUGGCUGGGCUUUGGAAGAUGGGCUUUUAAAAAUUGUCAAGAUACUCAUCCAUGAUCAGGCCCAGGCAGGUGCUGUCCUUUGGAGUGUGCCUAGAAAACACUUUAGGAGGUGCUUUGAUAACUGAGUCCCACAAGGGAAGGCAUUCAGUUGGUCAGGUAUACCCAGGAAGGCCCCACCCUGGUGGGGAGGUGAUAGAAAUGUUUUAAGCAGGCACACGUGAUGACCAGGCUGGACAAGGGCGCCGUCCUCAAGUCUCUCCCUAGCCCUGAGAUCACUGUCCCCAUAUGGCCCUGCCACCAGUGGGGACAACUGUUGCACAGAGAGGCUGUUCUCUGCACUUCUGCACCUUGCACACAUACUCCGGGUUACUCAGUCCCACAGCAUAUGCACGCCUUGCUCACCUAUUCCACAUCAUGCUCACAUGACUCCGUGCACACCCAGGUGUUCUAUGCACAUCUGCUAUUAUAUUAAUUAUAUAUAUUUUUUGUUUUUAUUUUUAUUGACAAAUAAUGAUUGUAUGUUUUUACGGGGUGAAGUGUGGUGUUUUGAUAUACGUGUACAGUACGGAAUGAUUAUAGCAAGGCAAUUAACAUAUCACCCAUCACCUCACAUAUUGCUUUUGUGUGCAGUGAGAACAUGUAUUUAUGUAAACAUUUUUAUGGAUACAUAAUAAUUGUACAUAUUUUUGGAUUACAUGCGGUAUUUUGAUGUAAGCAUCCAAUGUAUAAUAAUCAAAUCUGGGCAACUAGGAUGUUCAUCACUGGGAACAUUUGUCAUUUCUUUGUGUUGGGAACAUUCUAUGUCUUUUCUACCAGCUCCUUUGAAAUAUCCAAUAAUAAAUUAUUGUCAGCCACG
Molecule: non-coding RNA, 5531 nt
Organism: Callithrix jacchus (white-tufted-ear marmoset)
Lineage: Eukaryota; Metazoa; Chordata; Mammalia; Primates; Cebidae
Source: RefSeq, a predicted model, not a curated record